Molecule: long non-coding RNA, 420 nt
Filed under: Homo sapiens (human)
Lineage: Eukaryota; Metazoa; Chordata; Mammalia; Primates; Hominidae
Description: long non-coding RNA NONHSAT157212
Source: RNAcentral
GACUCACUUUUCGUGAUACAGUGCUCUGCGGGCAGGAGGCGCUUCUUGAGGAGUCCUUGCAGCACAGAGCGGACGGAGGGCCGGUGUACCAGCUGCAGCACGAAGACAGCAGGCCGUGACGGUGAUCUGGAUGGUGUUGCGGCCCGGCUGGCACACGUGCUUCAGGUGCAGGGGCUUGUGGGAGGUCUUGUUGUCGCCGCGCUCAAUGGUGAGGGGCGUGGCGUUCACGCUGACCUGCACCGAGGCGGGCCAGUUGGUGUUCAUCUGCCGGUCCUCGUGGUGGUAGCACUUGAACUGCAGCUCCAGGAGGUGGAACACAUGGUUGCUGACCGCCAGGUUGUGCUCCAGGCGGAAGGGCUCCAGCACCACGCCAUCCCGCACAGGGAAUGUGAGCCGCAGCUCGUCAUUGUGGUUGGCUGG